UACGUAGGGUGCAAGCGUUAAUCGGAAUUACUGGGCGUAAAGCGUGCGCAGGCGGUUUUGUAAGUUUGUCGUGAAAGCCCCGGGCUCAACCUGGGAAUUGCGAUGAAGACUGCAAGGCUUGAAUCUGGCAGAGGGGGGUAGAAGUUCCACGUGUAGCAGUGAAAUGCGUAGAGAUGUGGAGGAACACCGAUGGCGAAGGCAGCCCCCUGGGUCAAGAUUGACGCUCGAUGCACGAAAGCGUGGGGAGCAAACAGG
RNAcentral lists this ribosomal RNA (255 nucleotides) under uncultured bacterium. Its description in RNAcentral is "partial 16S ribosomal RNA". It matches the Rfam family "Bacterial small subunit ribosomal RNA", at positions 524 to 776 of the family's 1533-position model. The record is from RNAcentral.